GCGCCCAUAGCUCAGCAGGAUAGAGCAGCAGUUUCCUAAACUGUGUGUCGGAUGUUCGAGUCAUCUUGGGCGCACCA
RNAcentral lists this transfer RNA (77 nucleotides) under Lactobacillus iners. Its description in RNAcentral is "tRNA-Arg". It matches the Rfam family "tRNA". Rfam says of the family: Transfer RNA (tRNA) molecules are approximately 80 nucleotides in length. The record is from RNAcentral. Lineage: Bacteria; Bacillati; Bacillota; Bacilli; Lactobacillales; Lactobacillaceae. RNAcentral also lists the same sequence under 3 other names.